UCAUCACCAUCAUCAUCCUUAGUCAGUCUGUCGGGAGAUGAGCGCAUACCCGGGAGACAGGAAAUCUCCCGGUGGUUAAUUUGGUUAUAGUCAGAUUGCAAACCCUCGGGAACUAAGCUCCCGAGGGUUUUUUCAU
Molecule: small RNA, 136 nt
Filed under: Vibrio palustris
Lineage: Bacteria; Pseudomonadati; Pseudomonadota; Gammaproteobacteria; Vibrionales; Vibrionaceae
Description: His_leader
Rfam family: Histidine operon leader
About the family: At least 6 amino acid operons are known to be regulated by attenuation.
Source: RNAcentral